This 110-nucleotide ribosomal RNA is filed under the name Bacteroidales bacterium. The record is from RNAcentral. Lineage: Bacteria; Pseudomonadati; Bacteroidota; Bacteroidia; Bacteroidales.
UAAGGUGACUAUAGCGGCGGGGCUCCACCUCUUCCCAUUCCGAACAGAGAAGUUAAACCCGUCAGCGCCGAUGGUACUGCUAAUUGUGGGAGAGUAGGUAGUCGCCAAAC